This 452-nucleotide long non-coding RNA is filed under the name Trifolium pratense (red clover). RNAcentral's name for it is "long non-coding RNA (TPRA_LNC007567)". The record is from RNAcentral. Lineage: Eukaryota; Viridiplantae; Streptophyta; Magnoliopsida; Fabales; Fabaceae.
CUUCCGGAAAUAAUUAAAUGCAUAGGGGACCAUCCUUUUGUUGUGUUGCGGCAUGCUCCUAAGAUUUACGGAUUAGCAGGGGGCCUCAGGCCCUACUUAGUUGACUGACAAUGACAAAGGCUUGCGAAACUGAGUAGGGCCUUUUGAAUUGAAUCUUAAGUAGUCUAUCAGCGGUGCAAAGCGGCUUUGUGCCCCUUUUCAGUAGGGGAGCGAAAGGUUAGACCUUAGAAAGUCAGCGAACUGCGGUUCUUCUAUGUAGGUAUGGCCUUCCCCCUUGACUCUCCUAACGUCGAGCUAAGUGACUUCGUAACCUUUGCGUAGCGUAGUAGAAUGAAGGCUACACACUGACGCUCUCUUAUCUAUUAGCCUAAGCGUCUUCGCUAACUCGCUCGCCUACUAUACCCUACUAUACAAUACAUUAGUAGGCUAACCCAUAGGUCCUUAGUUGCGUU